GCAGACGGGUGAGUAACACGUAGGUAACCUGCCCUCAAGACGGGGAUAACGCCUGGAAACGGGCGCUAAUACCGGAUGACCUUAGUUGGGGAAGCACCGGCUAAGGAAAGGCUUUGGCGCUUGAGGAGGGGCCUGCGGCCCAUCAGUUAGUUGGUAGGGUAACGGCCUACCAAGGCGAAGACGGGUAGGGGGUGUGAGAGCACGGCCCCCCACACUGGGACUGAGACACGGCCCAGACUCCUACGGGAGGCAGCAGCGGGGAAUAUUGCGCAAUGGACGGAAGUCAGACGCAGCGACGCCGCGUGGGUGAAGAAGGCCUUCGGGUUGUAAAGCCCUUUUCUGUGGGAAGAGGAAGGACGGUACCAUAGGAAUAAGCGUCGGCUAACUACGUGCCAGCAGCCGCGGUAAGACGUAGGACGCGAGCGUUAUCCGGAUUUACUGGGCGUAAAGCGUGUGUAGGCGGCGUGACAAGUUGGGCGUGAAAGCCCCGUGCUCAACGCGGGGAGGCCGCACAAUACUGUCAGGCUAGAGGGCAUCAGAGGGGUGUGGAAUUCCCGGAGUAGCGGUAAAAUGCGCAGAUAUCGGGAGGAACACCGGUGGCGAAAGCGGCACCCUGGGGUGCACCUGACGCUGAGAGACGACAGCUAGGGGAGCGAACAGGAUUAGAGACCCUGGUAGUCCUAGCCGUAAACGAUGGAUGCUAGGUGUGGGAGUGAAGAACUUCUGUGCCGCAGCGAACGCGAUAAGCAUCCCGCCUGGGGAGUACGGCCGCAAGGUUAAAACUCAAACGAAUUGACGGGGACCCGCACAAGCAGCGGAGCGUGUGGUUUAAUUCGAUGCUACACGAAGAACCUUACCUGGGAUUGACAUAUGGGUGGUAGUGAGCCGAAAGGCAAGCGACCCUUCGGGGAGCCUAUACAGGUGCUGCAUGGCUGUCGUCAGCUCGUGCCGUGAGGUGUAGGGUUAAGGCCCGUAACGAGCGCAACUCCUGUCCUUAGUUACAAGUGUCUAAGGGGACUGCCGGCGGGAAGCCGGAGGAAGUUGGGGAUGAGGUCAAGUCAGCAUGGUCGUUAUAUCCAGGGGGACACUCACGCUACAAUGGUCGGUACAGAGGGCAGCGAAGCCGCGAGGUGGAGCGAAACCCAGAAAGCCGG
This 1154-nucleotide ribosomal RNA is filed under the name uncultured organism. RNAcentral describes it as "bacterial SSU rRNA". It matches the Rfam family "Bacterial small subunit ribosomal RNA", at positions 98 to 1285 of the family's 1533-position model. The record is from RNAcentral.